Molecule: ribosomal RNA, 253 nt
Filed under: uncultured bacterium
Lineage: Bacteria
Description: partial 16S ribosomal RNA
Rfam family: Bacterial small subunit ribosomal RNA
Source: RNAcentral
UACGGAGGGUGCAAGCGUUAUCCGGAUUUACUGGGCUUAAAGGGCGCGUAGGUGGGCAGGUAAGUCAGUGGUGAAAUCCCUCAGCUUAACUGGGGAACUGCGUCUGAGACUGAUGAGCUUGAGUGCAGGAGAGGAACGCGGAAUUCCAGGUGUAGCGGUGAAAUGCGUAGAUAUCUGGAGGAACACCGGUGGCGAAGGCGGCGUUCUGGACUGCAACUGACACUGAGGAACGAAAGCCAGGGGAGCAAACGGG